Molecule: long non-coding RNA, 1534 nt
Organism: Papaver somniferum (opium poppy)
Lineage: Eukaryota; Viridiplantae; Streptophyta; Magnoliopsida; Ranunculales; Papaveraceae
Exons: 2
Source: RefSeq, a predicted model, not a curated record
UCACUACAAAACCAGACUAUAAUAGGUUAUUCAUCUCCUUCUUCAUUACAUGCGAUGCGGCCGUUUCUUUCCCUUUCUCUUCUCCUCUAACCUUCUGCAACAGUGUUCGAUUGAGUGAGGAAGAAACAAUUUCGAGUGAGAUUGAUCAUCAACAGUGAGGUUUUUACUCACAUAGUUCGUGUUUAUGGUUUUGUUUCACUCUCAUGGUAUUUGAUGACUGAUACGGGUUGAAAACAGGUAACUGGUUGUUCAAAACCCUAGUUUUCUUUCAAGAGACCGUCAACAUAUUUACAAACAUAAUGAGAAACCAAUUGGCGCAAAUUUUGCAAUGUAAUCCUUCUUGAAGUUUAAGGCCGCAUGGCAACUUCAAUUCUCUUAAAUCCUGUGGUGUGUUUGAGUAAGUUGGGGACAAGGAGUUUGUGUUCGAGAUUCCAAGACUUUGGGGGGUGGAAAAUUAGUUGGAGAGAACAUUGCUUGUCGUUGUUCUGCUAUGUAGUUGGUUGACUGUAUGGAGAGAUUAAGCUCUACUACCUACCUGCAUAGCAUCAUCACCUGCCAAUUCACGUCUACAACAGUACCACCAGUAUUGUUAAGUGUUUGGUGUUUGCAUAUUUCUCCACCAUUUUGGCAGGUAACUUAAUUUCAUUUUUUUUCUUUAGCUUAAUGCUUGCAAGCCAUAUUGUUUCAAAAGAAUCCCAAGUACAGGACAUUUGUUCAGCAAAUGUUUGAGCCAAUAUGAGAAGUUGAGAAAGAAGCAAGCCUUUCUUGAAUUAUGCAAUUCCUAUGUUUGUGGUACGCCAAAUAUUCUCAAGUCUAGUUGUUAUUUCUUUGAAACCAUGAAUUCCUCUGUUCACUCUUCAGAAAUUGUCUUUGUGUUGUCAUACUACUGUAUGAUACGGAGUAGUUACAUGUUUAUUAGUCAAAUCCCGUAAUCAAUCACUUAAAUAGGUUCAGAAACGGAUCAGUAACAUUUCUACAAUCAAGACAAAACUGAUGAAUAUACAGGAACUGUUGUUGCUAUGGCGGGAGAAGGCAGAAUUAUGUUCAUCUGCUGCUGGUGCAACAUCAUCUUCACCUACAAAGACUUCAGCUUCAGCAUCACAGGCAACACCAUCAACUACAAGUUCAUCUAUGAGCGGUAGAGGAUCAUGAGGUUCAAGAUGUAGAGGUUGGAGGAAGGUCUGGUGGUGGGAUUGCAAGUGUAUAAGACAAUGUCACGGGCCAUUGCAGGUGUAUAAAAGAACAUGAAGAUGAUUGUCUUCAGGAUUGCAUAAAAGUUGCCAGGUCUGAUGGUUUAACUGCAGUUAAAUCUUUGAGUUAAAAGAGAGGGUAUUUUGGGGACAAGUAACACCGUUUUUUUCCCCAGCAGUUAUGUCGGACAGAACAUGACCAUUUUGUAAGCCAAUUACAAAAGUAUGACACUUUUGUAACCGAAUUAUAAAAAGUAGGACCAUUUUGUAAUCGGCCCUCUUUUUUUUGUUAUCUUAUCGGAAAAAUUCCAUUACAUGACAUAUCACAAUAACAAUGUUUUUCU